RNAcentral lists this small RNA (274 nucleotides) under Rossellomorea vietnamensis. RNAcentral describes it as "Bacillus vietnamensis BsrG". The record is from Rfam by way of RNAcentral. Lineage: Bacteria; Bacillati; Bacillota; Bacilli; Caryophanales; Bacillaceae.
UAUACAGUGAAUGUAGGGUGGGAGUGGCCACUUCCUUAUAGAAGGAGGUGGUGCUUAUAGUGACAACGUAUGAGGCGUUAACGCUAAUGAUUACCUUUGGCUCUUUAAUUGUCUCCAUCAUUGCCAUAGUUAUUUCAAAUGACAAAAAGAAAUAACCCCACCCUCAUGAAGCGCCUAAACUUUGAAGGGUAGAGUUAUGUUCCUUUCUCUAUUGGGCCACUGCUUUCCUUGCAGUUUGCUGUGUAGCAAGAGACAUUGGUUGCCGCCAGUGUCU